CGGCAGAGGUGAGACAGAAUGCUGAGAGA
Molecule: non-coding RNA, 29 nt
Filed under: Homo sapiens (human)
Lineage: Eukaryota; Metazoa; Chordata; Mammalia; Primates; Hominidae
Source: RNAcentral